RNAcentral lists this ribosomal RNA (120 nucleotides) under Candidatus Bathyarchaeota archaeon. RNAcentral also lists the same sequence under 3 other names. The record is from RNAcentral. Lineage: Archaea; Thermoproteati; Candidatus Bathyarchaeota.
GUUGCCGGCCACAGGGCGCGGGACCCACCCGAUCCCAUUCCGAACUCGGAAGUUAAACCGCGCUCCGUUUUCGGCGUUAGUGUGGUCUUCGGCCACGUGAAGCCGAGAAAGCUGGCGGCU